UGAGCAACCUGCCCCUGACUCUGGGAUAACCCCGGGAAACCGGAGCUAAUACCGGAUACGACACGCGAAGGCAUCUUCUGCGUGUAGAAAGAUUUAUCGGUCAGAGAUGGGCUCGCGGCCUAUCAGCUAGUUGGUGUGGGUAAUGGCCCACCAAGGCGACGACGGGUAGCCGGCCUGAGAGGGUGACCGGCCACACUGGGACUGAGACACGGCCCAGACCUCCGUACGGGAGCA
This 234-nucleotide ribosomal RNA is filed under the name uncultured bacterium. RNAcentral describes it as "partial 16S ribosomal RNA". It matches the Rfam family "Bacterial small subunit ribosomal RNA", at positions 118 to 347 of the family's 1533-position model. The record is from RNAcentral.